RNAcentral lists this ribosomal RNA (411 nucleotides) under Bacillus pumilus. RNAcentral describes it as "bacterial SSU rRNA". It matches the Rfam family "Bacterial small subunit ribosomal RNA", at positions 509 to 916 of the family's 1533-position model. The record is from RNAcentral. Lineage: Bacteria; Bacillati; Bacillota; Bacilli; Caryophanales; Bacillaceae.
CAGCAGCCGCGGUAAUACGUAGGUGGCAUUGUCCGGGAAAUUAUUGGGGCGUAAAAGGGCUCGCAGGCGGUUUCUUAAGUCUGAUGUGAAAGCCCCCGGGCUCAACCCGGGGAGGGUCAUUGGAAACUGGGAAACUUGAGUGCAGAAGAGGAGAGUGGAAUUCCACGUGUAGCGGUGAAAUGCGUAGAGAUGUGGAGGAACACCAGUGGCGAAGGCGACUCUCUGGUCUGUAACUGACGCUGAGGAGCGAAAGCGUGGGGAGCGAACAGGAUUAGAUACCCUGGUAGUCCACGCCGUAAACGAUGAGUGCUAAGUGUUAGGGGGUUUCCGCCCCUUAGUGCUGCAGCUAACGCAUUAAGCACUCCGCCUGGGGAGUACGGUCGCAAGACUGAAACUCAAAGGAAUUGACGG